Molecule: long non-coding RNA, 1407 nt
Organism: Parus major (Great Tit)
Lineage: Eukaryota; Metazoa; Chordata; Aves; Passeriformes; Paridae
Exons: 2
Source: RefSeq, a predicted model, not a curated record
UCUCACGUGUGGCGGCUCCGCGACGGCUGCUCGCGUUGCGAACUCGGUGCCGCCUGCCGUGUCCGGCCCCGAGCGUUCCCCGGGUUCAGCAUCUUCCGAGGGACCGCCUCCGCUCCUUCUUCUCGCACACACCUCGCUGCUCAUUGCUCCAGUUACACUUUGGCCGAGCAAACAGCCAGAGCUUUGUCAUUAGUGAAAAACAAAGCGCUCUGUGCUGAACCGCUUGCUACAUCCAUUACGGGAAGGACCAUGGGGAUUUCUGACAUGUUCUUUCAAAGGCCUUGCUUUUGAUACACAUUGGUACUUUGUGCUCGUUUGGGCUGGGAUAGAAUUACUUCUCACGCCGGAUUGUGUGGGGGUGUGGGGUUUGAUCUUUGAGGGUCCCUUCCAACUCAGCUUAUUCAGUGAUUCUGUGAUUUGUGUUGAACACAGGGUGGAUAAUACAGAGAUAUUUCUGUUAUUGCUGAACAGGACUUAAACAGAGCAAAGGCAUUUGCUGCUUUUUGUACUGCCAUGCUGGUAAGGAUGUUUGGGCUGAAUGAAAGAUUGAGAAGAGACAGCUGGGACAGAUGUUGACAAGUGACAGGAUAUUUUUGAUCAGAUGGCAUCAUGCUCAGUAUAUAAAGGAGAAGAAGGGAGAGAAUGUUAGGGGUGAUGAUGUUUGCCUUCCCAAGCAAUUGCUACAGGUGAUGAAGGCCUGGCCUCCUGCAGAUGGCUGAACACCUUCCUACCCAUGAGAAACAGUGAAUUAAUUCCUUAAUUUGCUUUGCUUGUACGCUUGUGGCUUUUGCUUUUCUUGUUAAACUGUUUGUAUCUCAACCCAUGAGUUUUCUACUUGUUAUCCUUCCAAUUCUCUCACCAGUCCUGAUGGUGGGGCAACAAGUGAGUGACUGUGUGAGGUUUGGCUCCUGGCUAGGGUUAAACCAUGACCCGCUGCAGCUAGCAUAUAUAUAUAUAUAUAUAUGGAUUUGCUGAAUAAGGUGAUGCUUGGGUGGUCAGAUGCUUUCCAAAUAGGUAGAGUUCUAACAAAACUGUUCCUGCUGUCAGCUGGGACAUAGGGAUAUAUGUAGUAUGUAAACUCUUAAGUUAUAUGCAGAAAGUUUUUGUUGACACGUAACUAAAAAAAGUUGUUUUCCAGAGAAAAGUUGUAUUAAACUUAAAUGAGUCAUUGUUUUGUGACCACCAUUAUAAACUACUAGUUGCUGUACUGUAGUUUAAUAUCUCCUUGUGUUAUCUGAAGAGUAUCAGAAUCUGCCCUUUUUGUUUUCCAGGGGCAUCAAAUAAAAUACACUUUGUUGGGCCCUUGAAAUAUCACAGCAAGACAAAAUAUGUAGUAUUAUUUAAGUCAGGUUUUAUAAGCACUGUGAUUGAGCUGUUGAAACAAAGUAUAAACUUGCCCUUUCUCAA